Molecule: ribosomal RNA, 375 nt
Filed under: uncultured bacterium
Lineage: Bacteria
Description: bacterial SSU rRNA
Rfam family: Bacterial small subunit ribosomal RNA
Source: RNAcentral
GACGAACGCUGGCGGCGUGCUUAACACAUGCAAGUCGAGCGGUAAGGCCCUUUCGGGGGUACACGAGCGGCGAACGGGUGAGUAACACGUGGGUGACCUGCCCUCAGCUCUGGGAUAAGCCUGGGAAACCGGGUCUAAUACCGGAUAUGACUCCAUGACGCAUGUUGUGGGGUGGAAAGCCUUGUGCGGCUGAGGAUGGGCCCGCGGCCUAUCAGCUUGUUGGUGGGGUGAUGGCCUACCAAGGCGACGACGGGUAGCCGGCCUGAGAGGGCGACCGGCCACACUGGGACUGAGACACGGCCCAGACUCCUACGGGAGGCAGCAGUGGGGAAUAUUGCGCAAUGGCCGCAAGGCUGACGCAGCGACGCCGCGUGU